This 497-nucleotide ribosomal RNA is filed under the name uncultured bacterium. RNAcentral's name for it is "partial 16S ribosomal RNA". It matches the Rfam family "Bacterial small subunit ribosomal RNA", at positions 28 to 507 of the family's 1533-position model. The record is from RNAcentral.
GAUGAACGCUGGCGGCGUGCCUAAUACAUGCAAGUCGAGCGAACAGACGAGGAGCUUGCUCCUCUGUCGUUAGCGGCGGACGGGUGAGUAACACGUGGAUAACCUACCUAUAAGACUGGGAUAACUUCGGGAAACCGGAUCUAAUCCCGUAUAAUAUAUUGAACCGCAGUGUUCGUUGGUAAGAGACGGUGUUGCGGUCUCUUAUCGAGGGAUCCGCGCCGGUUUGGCUGGUUGUUAAGGUAACGGCCUACCAAGGCGACGAUGCGUAGCCGACGUGAGAGGGUGAUAGCCCGCACGGGAGCGUGAACGGCGACCAUGGGACUACGAGAGGCAGCAGUAUGGUACGUGCCGCAAAGGUCGAAAACCUGACGGAACAAGGCCGCGUCAGAGAUGAAGGUCCUCGGAUCGGAAAGAUCUGUUAUGAGGGAAAAACAGAUGUGUCAGGUACUAUGCACGGCUUGACGGUACCGAGUCAGAAAGCAACGGCUAACUACGUG